This 468-nucleotide ribosomal RNA is filed under the name uncultured bacterium. Its description in RNAcentral is "partial 16S ribosomal RNA". It matches the Rfam family "Bacterial small subunit ribosomal RNA", at positions 28 to 507 of the family's 1533-position model. The record is from RNAcentral.
GAUGAACGCUGGCGGCGUGCCUAACACAUGCAAGUCGAACGGAAAGGCCCGGAUUUUGUUGGUCGCACGUGAGGCGAGCGGGUGAGUAUAACGCGAGGAACACCCCCUUGUAUGUCUGAUAACAUCUGGAGAAUGCGGCUCAAACAGCAUAGGAGAUACUGAACCAUGGUGGGGGUUGGUAAGAGUCGGCGGUGGGGGAUGGACUAGCGGGUUAUGAGCUACUUGGUGGGGUAGUGGAUUUCAAGGGCUAAGACGGGUAGGCGGCCUAGGAGGGUGGCCAGGCACAUUGGGCCUGAGAGACGCAGCAGACUCCUACGGGCGGCAGCAGUGGGGAGUAUUGCACAAUGGGCGGGAGCCUGAUGCAGCAACGCCGCGUGCGGGAUGACGGCUUUCGGGUUGUAAACCGCUUUCGCCUUUGACGAAGCGUGCUUGACGGUAAUGGGUCAAGAAGCACCGGCUAACUACGUG